This 253-nucleotide ribosomal RNA is filed under the name uncultured bacterium. RNAcentral's name for it is "partial 16S ribosomal RNA". It matches the Rfam family "Bacterial small subunit ribosomal RNA", at positions 524 to 776 of the family's 1533-position model. The record is from RNAcentral.
UACGUAGGGUGCGAGCGUUGUCCGGAAUUAUUGGGCGUAAAGGGCUCGUAGGCGGUUUGUCACGUCGGGAGUGAAAACUCGGGGCUUAACCCCGAGCCUGCUUCCGAUACGGGCAGACUAGAGGUAUGCAGGGGAGAACGGAAUUCCUGGUGUAGCGGUGAAAUGCGCAGAUAUCAGGAGGAACACCGGUGGCGAAGGCGGUUCUCUGGGCCGAUACUGACGCUGAGGAGCGAAAGCGUGGGGAGCAAACAGG